Molecule: ribosomal RNA, 441 nt
Filed under: uncultured bacterium
Lineage: Bacteria
Description: partial 16S ribosomal RNA
Rfam family: Bacterial small subunit ribosomal RNA
Source: RNAcentral
CCUACGGGUGGCAGCAGUGGGGAAUAUUGCACCAUGGGGGAAACCCUGAUGCAGCGACGCCGCGUGAGUGAAGAAGUAUUUCGGUAUGUAAAGCUCUAUCAGCAGGGAAGAAAAUGACGGUACCUGACUAAGAAGCCCCGGCUAACUACGUGCCAGCAGCCGCGGUAAUACGUAGGGGGCAAGCGUUAUCCGGAUUUACUGGGUGUAAAGGGAGCGUAGGUGGCAUGGUAAGCCAGAAGUGAAAACCCGGGGCUCAACCCCGCGGAUUGCUUUUGGAACUAUCAGGCUGGAGUGCUGGAGGGGUAAGCGGAAUUCCAGGUGUAGGAGUGAAAUCCGUAGAUAUCUGGAGGAACAUCAGUGGCGAAGGCGACUAUCUGGCACAUAACUGACGCUGAGGAGCGAAAGCGUGGGUAGCAAACAGGAUUAGAUACCCGGGUAGUC